RNAcentral lists this long non-coding RNA (355 nucleotides) under Homo sapiens (human). RNAcentral's name for it is "non-protein coding lnc-PARK7-3:1". Lineage: Eukaryota; Metazoa; Chordata; Mammalia; Primates; Hominidae. The record is from RNAcentral.
CUGCCCCGCGGUUCCCAGCACGAGCUCUCCCGACAGAAGAGGAAAACGCGGCGCGACUCGGUUGGGGGACAGCGCUGAGAUGCGGACAGAUGCGGACGUUCUGCCGCCGCCUGCAGGCAGAGGGACUCGGAGAUCAGGCCGCAGAAGCAGAAGAAGGCAGACGGGAAGGAGGAGGAAGGAAAGGAGCCUUGUGGCUUCGUGUCCGACCCUCCCGCCCUUGGCCCGCGUGCCUGGAGCCAGCCCCACCGCGCCCGCGUUUCCUCCCGCGGGACUUCCCUUGGCCCUGGGUCUGCAGCGGGUCCUGCCGAGCUUCCUUCCCUCAGGCAGCCUCUCUCUCCCUGGCCACUCUCGGGGG